GCUAAAACGGACCAAAUAUUUGGACCCGAAGCUCAUGAGUUACAGAUACUCCCAAAGAUCCUAAAUGAAAAGUAACUGUCAUGCGCGAGAAUGACGAGAAUUCCCUUCAAAUACGAUUUUGACGUUGAUGUUAUUUUGUUCCAAACGACAACAAAAUUUACAUUUUCUGUUGUUUCCCAUUUUAAUUGCAGAGUGGGAUGAAACAGAUGAAAUUUGGUAUUAUUAUAUCAACAGCUACAAAAAUAUACAAAAUCUUCUGCAGACCAAUUUUUAAUAUAAACACAUUAUACAGAACUGAACUAGUGCCAAUAAGGAAAAGACUGCAAAAAUUUCCAAGGAAACUUCUAAAGGCUACACAACAUAGAACUAAAGUGACCAUUGAUGCCAAUAUGAUAGAAGUUGUUUAUUAUUAUUAUAUUUAUUUGUAGGUUGAUCAAUUAAUGUGAUUUGAUAAUAUGAAAGAGAAGUUUGUAUGAUGAGAUUGAAUUGAAAGUGCCCUUUUGUUACUAUGAAUAAGUAUUCAAAUUAAAGCUUCUUAUAAUUAUUUUAUGUGAAUUGAGAAAUUUAUUGUUUGUAAUAAUGGAUUGAACUUUAAGAAAUUACAUUAAAAUAUCUAGAAAUCGAUUUUUAAAAGUACUACUAGCUUGUUUCAUAUUAAGAUUAGUUUGACAUUUCACCUUGAUAAUAAUUUCAAACUUUAAAUCAAUGUGUUAUGUGAAGGAUCAGGGCAAGAAAAAGAUUAUUUCAGAUUGUAGCAUCCCUUAUACUAUUAUAUAUAGAUCAUUCAGAAACCACUCAUGAAUCUCAAAAAAGAUUUCUCUUGGGGUUUCAAUACAGAAGGAUUAGGAUAUAAUGCAUAUAAUGGAAAUAUAAUAAAAUCUGUAUCAAAUUCUUUACAGCAUAGAGAAUUUUGGCUGUUCAACACAGUUGAGAAUACACUUUCAUUGAGUUAUGGGAAAUGAAAUCGUAUAAUCAAUACAGGA
This is a long non-coding RNA of Harmonia axyridis, 983 nucleotides long. RefSeq lists it as uncharacterized. The record is from RefSeq and is a predicted model, not a curated record. Lineage: Eukaryota; Metazoa; Arthropoda; Insecta; Coleoptera; Coccinellidae. The transcript is spliced from 3 exons.